CCUACGGGUGGCAGCAGUGGGGAAUAUUGGGCAAUGGGCGCAAGCCUGACCCAGCAACGCCGCGUGAAGGAAGAAGGCUUUCGGGUUGUAAACUUCUUUUCUCAGGGACGAAGAAAGUGACGGUACCUGAGGAAUAAGCCACGGCUAACUACGUGCCAGCAGCCGCGGUAAUACGGAGGUGGCAAGCGUUAUCCGGAUUUAUUGGGUGUAAAGGGCGUGUAGGCGGGAGGGCAAGUCAGAUGUGAAAACUAAGGGCUCAACCCUGAGCCUGCAUUUGAAACUGUGUUUCUUGAGUGCUGGGGAGGCAAUCGGAAUGCCGUGUGUAGCGGUGAAAUGCGUAGAUAUACGGAGGAACACCAGUGGCGAAGGCGGAUUGCUGGACAGUAACUGACGCUGAGGCGCGAAAGCGUGGGGAGCAAACAGGAUUAGAUACCCCUGUAGUC
Molecule: ribosomal RNA, 443 nt
Filed under: uncultured bacterium
Lineage: Bacteria
Description: partial 16S ribosomal RNA
Rfam family: Bacterial small subunit ribosomal RNA
Source: RNAcentral